RNAcentral lists this long non-coding RNA (248 nucleotides) under Homo sapiens (human). RNAcentral describes it as "HSALNT0024415". The record is from RNAcentral. Lineage: Eukaryota; Metazoa; Chordata; Mammalia; Primates; Hominidae.
UGUGAGUAGAGAGCAGAGGACUGUGGAAACAACGAGCUUCAAUUUGUUGCUGAAGACAGAUGAUGACUGUUACAUAGACCUCGAAGCUGUAUUUAAUAGGAUUGUCCAAAAGAAUCUGGAUGGGCCUAAUUUUUGGUGGGGAAAUUUCAGACUGAAUUGGGCAGUUGACCGAACCGGAAAGUGGCAGGAGUUGGAGUACCCGAGCCCCGCUUACCCUGCCUUUGCAUGUGGGUCAGGAUAUGUGAUCU